Molecule: ribosomal RNA, 435 nt
Filed under: uncultured bacterium
Lineage: Bacteria
Description: bacterial SSU rRNA
Rfam family: Bacterial small subunit ribosomal RNA
Source: RNAcentral
UCGAGGAUCUUCGGCAAUGGGCGCAAGCCUGACCGAGCGACGCCGCGUGCGCGAUGAAGGCCUUCGGGUUGUAAAGCGCUGUCGAGGGGGAGGAAAGCCCGUAAGGGUCUGACCUAUCCCUGGAGGAAGCACGGGCUAAGUUCGUGCCAGCAGCCGCGGUAAGACGAACCGUGCGAACGUUGUUCGGAUUCACUGGGCUUAAAGGGCGCGUAGGCGGACUGCAAAGUCAGGGGUGAAAUCUUUCGGCUCAACCGGAAAAGUGCCCCUGAUACUGGCAGCCUCGAGGGAGGUAGGGGCAUGCGGAACUUCCGGUGGAGCGGUGAAAUGCGUAGAUAUCGGAAGGAACGCCGGUGGCGAAAGCGGCGUGCUGGAUCUCUUCUGACGCUGAGGCGCGAAAGCUAGGGGAGCGAACGGGAUUAGAUACCCCCGUAGUCC